GAAAUAUGAUGUUCAAGAAGAAGCUGCUAACUUCCCUCUUUAGCGGUUAAAUUCCGUUUAUAUUUCU
Molecule: transfer RNA, 67 nt
Filed under: Cerconychia flectospina
Lineage: Eukaryota; Metazoa; Arthropoda; Insecta; Plecoptera; Styloperlidae
Description: tRNA-Ser
Source: RNAcentral